Molecule: ribosomal RNA, 480 nt
Filed under: uncultured bacterium
Lineage: Bacteria
Description: partial 16S ribosomal RNA
Rfam family: Bacterial small subunit ribosomal RNA
Source: RNAcentral
UAGGGAAUCUUCCACAAUGGACGCAAGUCUGAUGGAGCAACGCCGCGUGAGUGAAGAAGGCUUUCGGGUCGUAAAACUCUGUUGUUGGAGAAGAAUGGUCGGCAGAGUAACUGUUGUCGGCGUGACGGUAUCCAACCAGAAAGCCACGGCUAACUACGUGCCAGCAGCCGCGGUAAUACGUAGGUGGCAAGCGUUAUCCGGAUUUAUUGGGCGUAAAGCGAGCGCAGGCGGUUUUUUAAGUCUGAUGUGAAAGCCCUCGGCUUAACCGAGGAAGCGCAUCGGAAACUGGGAAACUUGAGUGCAGAAGAGGACAGUGGAACUCCAUGUGUAGCGGUGAAAUGCGUAGAUAUAUGGAAGAACACCAGUGGCGAAGGCGGCUGUCUGGUCUGUAACUGACGCUGAGGCUCGAAAGCAUGGGUAGCGAACAGGAUUAGAUACCCUGGUAGUCCAUGCCGUAAAACGAUGAAUGCUAGGUGUUGG